AGUGGGGAAUAUUGCACAAUGGAGGAAACUCUGAUGCAGCAACGCCGCGUGGAGGAUGACACAUUUCGGUGCGUAAACUCCUUUUAUAUGGGAAGAUAAUGACGGUACCAUAUGAAUAAGCACCGGCUAACUCCGUGCCAGCAGCCGCGGUAAUACGGAGGGUGCAAGCGUUACUCGGAAUCACUGGGCGUAAAGCGCGCGCAGGCGGCUAUUUAAGUUGGAUGUGAAAGCCUACGGCUCAACCGUAGAACUGCAUCCAAAACUAUUUAGCUAGAGUGUGGGAGAGGAAGAUGGAAUUAGUUGUGUAGGGGUAAAAUCCGUAGAGAUAACUAGGAAUACCAAAAGCGAAGGCAAUCUUCUGGAACACUACUGACGCUGAGGCGCGAAAGCGUGGGGAGCAAACAGGAUUAGAUACCCUGGUAGUCCACGCAGUAAACGAUGAAUGUUAGUCGUCGGGGGCCUAGUGUCUUCGGUGAUGCAGCUAACGCAUUAAACAUUCCGCCUGGGGAGUACGGUCGCAAGAUUAAAACUCAAAGGAAUAGACGGGGACCCGCACAAGUGGUGGAGCAUGUGGUUUAAUUCGAAGAUACGCGAAGAACCUUACCUAGCCUUGACAUAUUUUAGAACUCCGUAGAGAUACAGAGGUGCCUUCGGGAGCUAAUUUACAGGUGCUGCACGGCUGUCGUCAGCUCGUGUCGUGAGAUGUUGGGUUAAGUCCCGCAACGAGCGCAACCCUCGUCACUAGUUACUAACGGUUCGGCCGAGGACUCUAGUGAGACUGCCUUCGUAAGGAGGAGGAAGGUGAGGACGACGUCAAGUCAUCAUGGCCCUUACGGCUAGGGCAACACACGUGCUACAAUGGCCAGGACAGUGAGACGCGAUACCGUGAGGUGGAGCAAAUCUAUAAACCUGGUCUCAGUUCGGAUUGUAGUCUGCAACUCGACUACAUGAAGCUGGAAUCACUAGUAAUCGUAGAUCAGCUAUGCUAUGGUGAAUACGUUCCCGGGUCUUGUACUCACCGCCCGUCACACCAUGGGAGUUGAUUUCACCCGAAGCGGGGAAGCUAAACUGGCUACCCUCCACGGUGGAAUUAGCGACUGGGGUG
RNAcentral lists this ribosomal RNA (1105 nucleotides) under uncultured bacterium. RNAcentral's name for it is "bacterial SSU rRNA". It matches the Rfam family "Bacterial small subunit ribosomal RNA", at positions 353 to 1482 of the family's 1533-position model. The record is from RNAcentral.